UAGGAAAAUCUAUUUACAUUACUACUCCAAACUUAAGCUACUUAACUAAGCAUUCCAGGAGCUUUUUCAAUGGCUUGCCUAUUUCCUAGUGGAAGGUUGUAACUUGCCUGGCCUAAGGUUUCAGUCAGUAUGAAAUACAUGGGACCAUUGCAUUGUACGAAUGUUUUUCCCCAGUAAGUCACUUGUUUGGAAUGCAGGACUUUGUAACCUUCAGUUAGUAGGACUAAGGUCCAACCAGUAAUCUUUGUAAGUGGUCCUCUUUGCUGUAUUUAAGUUGGCUUAGUGAUAGCAUAGAAUAACCAAAACCUUUCUUCUGCUUCGGUAUAAACGGGCAAAAUUAAAGUUUUUUCCUCCUGGCUGUGCUUCAUGUUUUUGCCAACAGCCAUGAUUCGAGGUCAUCUGAUGAACUCUUGAACACUUG
RNAcentral lists this long non-coding RNA (421 nucleotides) under Paramuricea clavata. The record is from RNAcentral. Lineage: Eukaryota; Metazoa; Cnidaria; Anthozoa; Malacalcyonacea; Plexauridae.